RNAcentral lists this ribosomal RNA (404 nucleotides) under uncultured bacterium. RNAcentral describes it as "bacterial SSU rRNA". It matches the Rfam family "Bacterial small subunit ribosomal RNA", at positions 355 to 775 of the family's 1533-position model. The record is from RNAcentral.
UGAGGAAUUUUCGUCAAUGGGGGCAACCCUGAACGAGCAACGCCGCGUGCAGGAUGAAGGUUUUCGGAUCGUAAACUGCUUUUCUCUGGGACGAGAACGGACGGUACCAGAGGAAGAAGCCCCGGCUAACUACGUGCCAGCAGCCGCGGUAAUACGUAGGGGGCGAGCGUUAUCCGGAGUUACUGGGCGUAAAGCGCACGCAGGCGGUCAGAUCAGUCUGCCGUGACAGUCGUCGGCUUAACUGACGAAGUACGGUGGAAACUGUCUGACUUGAGGGCUUCAGAGGGACACGGAAUUCCGGGUGGAGUGGUGAAAUGCGUAGAUAUCCGGAGGAACACCGAUGGCGAAGGCAGUGUCCUGGGAAGUACCUGACGCUCAGGUGCGAAAGCUAGGGGAGCGAACAG